Molecule: long non-coding RNA, 11686 nt
Filed under: Spirodela polyrhiza (greater duckweed)
Lineage: Eukaryota; Viridiplantae; Streptophyta; Magnoliopsida; Alismatales; Araceae
Description: long non-coding RNA (SPOL_LNC000348)
Source: RNAcentral
ACAACCCCAGUUUAUACCAACAACGUCACCCCUAGAGAUCGAACUCCGGCUUGCUAAAGAGCAAAUCAAUGGACAUCUGCAACGCAGUAGAGAGAGAUACUGACUCCGAAUUUAGAUUUUGCUGGAGAAUAUUUUAUUUGGUUCUAUACACAGGACGACCGAAAUGGGAGACCAAAGGCCUCUCGGGGGUUGGUGUAGUGAGACUAGGCGCACAAAAACUCCAUAAAAGGUGAGGCGUCAGCAGCCUAGAGAUCACACCAGAGUUCCCCCAUCAUUCUACUACGCCUCACCGGAAAUCGUAGUUCCCAUCCCUUAGCCAUGGGAUCUGUCCCCGACGAGGCGAGGAUGACUAUCCCGGAGGAGGAGCACGAGGCCUGCACCUACGCCAUGCAGCUGGCCAGCGCUUCCAUUCUCCCGAUGACUCUCAAGGCGGCAAUCGAGCUGAACCUCCUCGAGAUCAUCAGUCGGGCGGGUUCCGCCUCCCAACUCUUCCCCGAAGAGAUUGUCGCCCAGCUUCCCACCGAGAACCCGGAGGCGGCCGUCAUGGUCGACCGUAUCCUCCGCCUCCUCGCCAGUUACUCGAUCCUCACCUGCUCCGUCGUCCACGGCGACGGCGGAAACGUCCGCAGACGCUAUGGCCUGGCCCCUGUCUCAAGGUUCCUCACACCGAACGAGGAUGGCGUCUCCAUGGCUGCCCUAGUGCUCAUGAACCAGGACAAGGUUCUCAUGGAGAGCUGGUAUUACCUGAAGGAAUCGGUUCUGCACGGGGGGAUCCCCUUCAACAAGGCCUACGGUAUGACGGCGUUCGAGUACCACGGGACCGACCCCAGGUUCAACAAGGUGUUCAACGCCGGCAUGUCCAACCACUCCACCAUCACCAUGAAGAAGAUGUUGGAGGUUUACCGGGGGUUCGACGGGCUCGGAGUCCUGGUGGAUGUUGGCGGUGGGAUCGGCGCGACGCUCAACAUGAUCAUCUCCAAGCACCCAUCUAUCAAGGGCAUCAACUUCGAUCUCCCCCACGUCAUCGCCGAUGCGCCCUCCUUCCCAGGUACGACAAAGACCAGCACAGCCCCCAAUUCCUCAAUCCAUUUACAUCCGGGGACUUCGGGUGAAGACGGGGGAAAGGUGGGCAGGCAUUAACGGAAAGAAUUAUCCUCUUGUUGGCCCAGGCGUGGAGCAUGUGGGCGGCGAUAUGUUCGAGAGCGUUCCCAGUGGAGACGCCAUCUUCAUGAAGGUAACCAAUUCUCCCGUCGACCUCCCCUGUUCCUACCUUCCCGGUCUCCUCCAGCGUUUCCUCGAUUAAUCACGCUGUCUCGGAACUGCGUUUGCAGUGGAUCCUUCACGACUGGAGCGACGAGCACUGCCUGAAGGUUCUGAAGAAUUGCUGGAAGGCAUUGCCAGAGCAGGGGAAAGUCAUCGUCAUGGAGGGCAUUCUGCCGGAAGCGCCAGAGACGACCAAGGAGGCACAGAGCCUGUUCCACGUGGACAUGAUCAUGCUCGCUCACAACCCCGGCGGCAAAGAGAGGACUGAAAAGGACUUCCACUCCCUGGCGAAAGGCGCGGGGUUCUCGGGGUUCGCCAAGGUGAGCACCGCCUUCGGUGUAUGGAUCAUGGAGUUCACCAAGUGAGGCAGAGCUUACCUCAUGCAUACGUCAGCCCCGCCGCCCCACGAGAAUUGGGUUCUUGUUCCCACUGGUAUCGGCUCAAUAUAAAAAAAAUUAAAAUCCAUCUUUUGCCCCGGUGUUACCGCCACAGGUGCCCACGUUGACCUUUGUCCCACCAAACUAGUAGCGAACACCCCAAAGACGUCGUAUCAUGAAGUCCAAAGAUCGACCGGCAACGGUUGGUUCGAUCGAACGGUGCCGGGCUCGCAUCAGUGAGAUAAAGGCGACUGAUCUUGGCCCUCCAUGUGGAUAUAAGAAGAGGAAAAGUUAAAACCGAUACUUAAGAUAUUUGUUUGCGCGCAUGAUUCACCUGCAGACAUGCGCACAAAUGAAUAUCGAAGUAUCGGAUUUAGCUUUUCUUAUAUUCAUAUAUCUAGAUAUUUAUCUUAAAGGCACUUCAGAAAAACUAACAUUCAUCAUAUGAACAAUAUUAUUUUUACGUAAAUGAUUUUACAUUAGAAGUGCAGUAAAAUAUGUCAAUAUGUGAGCAGUUUACACUAUUGAAAAUUACAACACGUCCACAAUAACAUUUAGCCCAUCAUUUUGUAUCUACAUUAACAUUAGUAUUUUAAUACAUGCUAUUCAUAUUAUAUAAUAUCACAAGAAAUCAAUCUAAAUAUUAAAUAAAUGAUUAUUGACAAUAUAAAAAAUGCAAUACAUCAAUUUUAAAAAAAUUUACAUCACUUUAUAGUAUCUAAUAUGAAAAGAGUUAAGAACAAUAUUUCUUGAUUGAAGAAAUUGAUGUUCAAGAAGAUUACUAUACAUUAACAACACCAAAUUAUCAAAAUAAAGGUUUGCAUCAACGAAUGAGAGUAUUAUAAGAUCUAAAAGUUUUAUGUUGUAGAAGUCGUGAUACAUUAACAAAAAGUUUUUAGCACAAUGGCAUUUUCAUAUAUUUUAAGAGCAUAAUACAUAUAUCACUUUAUUGUGCUAAAUAGUGUCAAGAACAAUUUUUAACUAUUCCAAACCUUUGAGAACAUAAGUAUCGGAAUUUCAUUUUACCAUUUUUGUAAAUAGCAUUACAAUAUAUCCAUGAAAUGAUGCUAGUAUAUAAUAACUUUACGUUUCUGAAGAUUCCCAUACAUUAUCAAAAUAUUUAAGUGUAGCUCAUUAAAGUUUGCAUGAGAUACUACUCAGGUUGAAAAAUAUUCGUGUUAGCAUUGAAUUACUAAUGUUCGGCUGUAUAGAGUUGUUAAUUUAAAAGGGAGCAGUAGGGCAAUCAAAUCGGUAGACACUUGGUAAUGCUAUGUACUUUAUCACCAUUGAAAAGAUGCUUAAUAUGAGGUCUUAUAAUAAAGCCAAUAAAUUCUGAAUAUAUUAUUUAUAAUAAAAUAAGUAGUUUAAAUUCAAUAAUGUUUAUUAGGCUGGACAUGAAAAUUCAGGUCAACUGAGAUAUCCUCAUCCACAAGCAUCAUGACUCACAUGAUUGGAUUUGCAAUAGUGGCUCCCACGCUCAUCCACUCGUUCACACCAUGUGUAGACUCCGCAUGAUGUACCCUAAGUGUGACAUAAAAUCUAGUCAUGGUCACAAUCUGGUCAAGGUGUCUAACCUAUGACCUAUAAAUUAUUAUAUUAAUUAUUUAAUUAAAUAAAUUAAUAUAAUAUUUAUUUAUUUUUAAUUAUCAUUUAUAAUAUGAAAAAUAUUAUAAAAUAUUUUUUUAUUUUAAAAAUAUUUAUUUAAAAACAAAUAAAAAUAAAAAUUUAUAAAUAAAUAAAUGAAAUACUUUGUGUUAAGAUGUCACCUUGAUCAUUUGGAUGAAAUCAAGUGAAAGAAAGAUGUUGGUUAUACAUAUGAUGAAAUAAGUUAUAGUGAAUUAAAAGGUUUAAUUACAUUUCUAUAAUUGUCUUACAUUUAAAACAUAAAUAAUUUAAGCCAUCUAAAAUAAACACUAAAUUUGACUAUCACAAUAUUUAAUUUGUAUGAAGAUUGUGACAUGGCUCUUUUUUAAUUGUUGUCAUAGUAGCUUGAUUGUAUUAUGAGAUUUAUCCCUCAUCACGAUUGACUCCUUAGGGGGAACAUUUUUUCACCGAUAUUGUAACACUAAUCACCAUUACUAUUCUACAUAUAAUAUUUAGAUGUUUUUGACUUAACCUUCCACUAUGAAGAACUUACAUCAUUAAUAAUGUUGUAUGUAUACAUCUCUACACCAUGCAACGUAAUCUACAACAAAUAAAAUGAGCACAUUCAUUAUAAUAUUUAAAUAUCAGUGAUCAAUUAAAUUAGAUGAAAACUAACAAAAAAUUUAAAAACCUAGUUGUUACUCAAAUCUGUUAUGAAAAUUAACACUUUAUUAAGAAGAUUUGGGGCAAUUGUGCUAAUGUCUCAUGUUCUCCAUCUUUGAAAAUUAACAUUUCAUUCAUCAUGAUGAAAUUAAAAAGUCACUAAGUAAAAAUAAACCAACUUCUCAGUCAUUCGGUGAAUAAAAUGACAAAGAAGUAAAUGAUCAUCAAACUUAACCAACAUAUUAUGAAAGUAUAAUGAGAAAUGGUCAACACUGGAGUUGGGGCUGAGGACCCUCUGUGCGUAAAAGAGAGGGAGAGAGGAGAGAGAUAGAGAGGGAGAAGAGAGAGAGGGAGAGAGGGAGGAGAGAGAGAGAGAGAUAGAGAGAGAUAGAGAGAGAGAGAGAGAGAGAGAGAGAGAGAGAGAGAGAGAGGAGGAGGANNNNNNNNNNNNNNNNNNNNNNNNNNNNNNNNNNNNNNNNNNNNNNNNNNNNNNNNNNNNNNNNNNNNNNNNNNNNNNNNNNNNNNNNNNNNNNNNNNNNNNNNNNNNNNNNNNNNNNNNNNNNNNNNNNNNNNNNNNNNNNNNNNNNNNNNNNNNNNNNNNNNNNNNNNNNNNNNNNNNNNNNNNNNNNNNNNNNNNNNNAGAGAGAGAGAGAGGGAGGGAGCGAGCCCUAACGAGCGUGAGCUGGAGAGCCGGAGGCAAAAAGAGAGUGUGGACUAAGGAAGUGGUAAAUGAGCAGGAGAGAGGGAGAGGAGAGGAGGGAGAGGGAAGUUGCGAGUCCUAGUGAGCGCGAGGCGGAAAGCAGGAGUUAGGACUGGGGAGAGAGGAGAGAUGGAGACUGGGAGAGGAGAGGAGGGAGAGGAGAGCCAGUGAUGGGCUGGGCCUCCAAGUAAAGGUUAGGCCCGGUUCGCUCUGCUCUUUCUCUGUAGAGGGAGAGAGGAGAGAGGAGAGAUACUCCGGUCACGACCGGUCACCGAUCUGAAGACCGUGACCGGACCUUCGAUCCGGUCACGCCAUUUUUUCGCGACCGGCGGUCACGGUCCGGUCCCUAUGUUUAUGGGCUGGUAAAGAUUCUGAUCGUUGAUCCCUAUGUGGAGUUACGUUGGGCUGGUAAAGAUGCAUCGAGCAUGGGCAACUGGGCUGCAACUACGCCACUAAAAGAUGAAUUUAAAAAUUAUUUUAAAGCGGAUACCAGCAGCAACAAGAACAAAGCCCAGUGGGUGGGCGUGGUUGAUGGGGGCAUCAGCCACCUAAGCAUUGUCUUACUUCGUGAACUCCAUGAUCCAGAGGCCGAAGGCGGUGCUUACCGUCGCGAACCCCAAAAACCCCGCGCCCUUCGCCAGUGACUGGAAGUCCUUCUCGGUCCUCUCUUUGCCGCCGGAGUUGUAGGCGAGCAUGAUCAGAUCCCUCUGGAAAAGGCCUUGCGCCACCCUGGUCGUCUCCGCAGCUUCUGGCAGAAUACCCUCCAUAACAAUGACCUUUCCUAUCUCCGGCAGUGCCUUCCAGCAGUUCUUCAGAACCUUCAGGCACUUCUCGUCGCUCCAGUCGUGAAGGAUCCACUGCAAACCCAUUUUGGAGACAGAAAAGUGUGUUAAAUAGAGCAAAGAGUAAAGGAGAUUCGGAAAAGAGGAAGCAGGUAAAUCGGAGAGUCAAUUACUUUCAUGAAGAUGGCGUCCCCACUGGGAACGCUCUCGAACAUAUCACCGCCCACAUGCUCCACGCCUGCACCAAGAAAAAAACAUACUCGAUUAACAUCAACCCACCAUUCCUCCGUAGCCACAAGAAAUUAGCGGCUGUGAAUGGCCCCAGGAACUAGAUGCUGUGCUGGUUUUUGUCGUACCUGGGAAGGAGGGCGCACCGGCGAUGACGUGGGGGAGAUCGAAGUUGAUACCCUUGAUAGAUGGGUGCUUGGAUAUGAUCAUGUUGAGCGUCGCGCCGAUCCCACCGCCAACAUCCACCAGAACCCCAAUCCCGUCGAACCCCCGGUAAAUCUCCAGCAUUUUCUUCAUGGUGAUGGUGGAAUGGCUGGACAUGCCGGCGUUGAACACUUUGUUGAACCUGGGAUCGGUCCCGUGGUACUCGAACGCCGUCAUUCCGUAGGCCUUGUUGAAGGGGAUCCCACCCUGCAGAACCGAUUCCUUCAGGUAAUGCCAGCUCUCCAUGGGAACCUUGUCCUGGUUCAUGAGCACUAGGGCAGCCAUGGAGACGCCAUCCUCGUUCGGUGUGAGGAACCUUGAGACAGGGGCCAGGCCAUAGCGUCUCCGGACCUUUCCGCCAUCGCCGUGGACGACGGAGCAGGUGAGGAUCGAGUAACUGGCGAGGAGGCGGAGGAUACGGUCGACCAUGACGGCCGCCUCCGGGUUCUCGGUGGGAAGCUGGGCGACAAUCUCCUCGGGGAAGAGUUGGGCGGCGGAACCCGCCCGACUGAUGAUCUCGAGGAGGUUCAGCUCGAUUGCCGCCUUGAGAGUCAUCGGGAGAACGGACGCGCUGGCCAGCUGCAUGGCGUAGGUGCAGGCCUCGUGCUCCUCCUCCGGGAGAGUCAUCCUCGCCUCGUCGGGGACAGAUCCCAUGGCUAAGGGGUAGAAACUCGGUGAGGUGAGGCGUAGUAGAAUGCGGGGAGGAGGGCAACCUCUGAUGUGACAUCGAGGCUGCUAACGCCUCACUUUUUAUUGAGUUUCUGUACGGCUAGUCUACCUCCACCAACCUCCGCCAGACAUUUCGUCUCUCGAAAUAUCUCUCUUCGGGAGUGAGACCGUGCCAACGAUUGAACUACCUGCUGACCACAUUGCCAUAACAUGAGCCUUGAAACAGAAGAAUUUAUUGAUUAUUGAGUUAAUUUAGCUUAAGAUUUCAUACUUCGAUUAUUAGAGAACUUAUAAACUGGCCCUCAUACCUAUAAUUAAGGCAGCGAAUUAGAAGCUGAGUUUAAGGAUUAGUUACCUAAUUGUGAAAUCUCGUUGCCCCGGCUUGAGUUGGUUGGGACCCCCCCACUCCCAGUCUUGAGAACCCUUCCCCCUCCCUUCUGUUCCUUCUAUCCCCACUAACCAAUGCCCUCUACACUGCCACCACCUUCUAUCACCAAUCGCCUUCCGCUCGUCAUCUGUCACCACCAGCCCUCGCCUUUCCAUUGACCGUCGCUGCCCCUUUCCCACUGUCCUCACCUCUUUCCCUCUCCUUCUCAGCCGCUGCCUUCACCGUUGUUCACCACUGCUGCCGUUACCUCCCACCAGGCUGUUGUCGCCUAUUUCCACCUUCAUAACCAAUCGAGCCGUUCGACUAAAAUCGAACCGAGGCACCCGAUUCGAGCCAUUUUACCCUCUUGGUUUGAGCCGUUCAUCUGUCGAUCUGGUCAGUCAGUCAGUCAGUCAAUAGUAAAUGGUCAAUAAAAUGGUCAACAUGCAACUUUUUUUUUCAAGCCAAGUAUAUCUUCUGCACUUUUGUCAUUUCAUUUGUUCAUUUAAUAUAUUUUCUUACUACAGUCAUUUGAGAGAUCAUAAUAUAGUCACUAAUACAUAUUCAGUUGACUAUUACCUAUUGUAUUAAAUUUUUUCUGAUACAUAAAUAAACGAGUAUCCUACUUCAAGUGGUUUUCUUUAACUUCACGACACGAUCUUUUAUUCCCCCAUCAGUGCAUCUAUUUGUAUGUCCUUCCUUCUCUCUAUGGCAUUGGCAUUGUAGGUACCAAUUAAUUUACUUUUUACCAGGUUGAAGUGUAAUAUGUAGGGUCAAUGUUGCUGGUAUAAAUUAGGGUUGUUCUUAGUCAAUUGAGCUCCUGCAUCCUUCCCCCUUGAUCACAAGCGGAGCCAUCUUGGUUUCUGGAAUCCUUAUAAAAUGUAAAUAAAAGGUGACCUAACGAAUAGUAGACCUGGCCCAUCACAAAAAUAUUGGGAGGGGCCCAUUUUUAUAAGCAAUGGGUUCAAGUCAACCUAGGUUGUCCUCUUCUAGAUAAUCUCUAGAUUCCACUAUCAUAGCAUUAGUUUGUAAACACUUAACAGAAGAGUGUGAAGACAUCUUGACUUCACUAUGGCUUUAGGAGAGUAGGUAGACAUGCUUUACAAUUACAUCUAUGAGAUUGAGAACACCUGUUCAGAUACGCAUCCAACUUUUCCCCACCAAAUUCACAGCCCUCAAGGGUGAAGAACAUAAGCUUGUAACAUGCCUCACUACGUAUAGCUAAAGGGGAUUCAACAAUCUGCAUGUUACUACUAGUCCAAAAUUUUGCAUUCACAUCUCUUGAUGAAUCCCAUGAACGCCACUAGUUGUGGUACUCACCUACCAUUACAAAGAAAAGAGUGUUACAAAAUUGACAAUGUCCAAAGUUUCUUUUACUAUCAAGAAUAAAAUAUAAUUUUGAAAGUUGAAGCUUCAACUUGUCAAUAUAGUGACUUUUUAUUAAGAGAUGCAAUUGAAUAGAUUGAAAAUUAUUUUUUAAAUGGAAAUUUUUACUCAUUUAUUUUAUACUUUGGUGGUAAAAAAUGUGAGUACUCAUGUCUAUUGUAAUGUUUUACUAAAAGAUCCUAAUUAUAUAAAAAAAUAGAAUGAUGUAGUGUAUGCCAUGAAUAUACUCUAACCUUUGUGUGAGGGAAAUAUUGUGCAUGUUGACAUUUCAAGCAAAACUAGGAUGGUCUCAUGAGUUUCUCUACUUUAUCUUUUUAGGAUGGGUUUUUAAUGCUUUCAAUGCAAUUGAAAAGGAGUGUUGCAAUCUAGGAGGCUGAAAUUUUUAUGGAUCUUCAUUGUAACUAGAAAGAGAGAUGAUUUAUAGUGGUUUUGCUUUCUUGGCCUAUAGUAACUAAAUCUCUCUUCUCUAUGUUCUAAUAACCAUGGAUAGGAUGAAAUCCAACUAUUUAUCCAUAAAAGUAUUAAUAUGUUUGAAUCACUCUUAAAUUCACAACCCUAUGCAACCAAAAACUAGUAAUUUGAUUCUAGCCUUUUAUUACUUUGCAGCACAAGUUGUCACAUACUAUGUGAAGUCUAAUCUACUAUAUCUAAAAUAUUACUGAUGAUGUAUUAGGCUUGUCUAAAGCAAAAAGUUUAUUUAUAAGAAAGUGAUUUUGAUGAUAUGUCCCACUACUGUACAAAAUAAGUUGGUAUGCUAAAAAACCGAUAUUGAUGUACUCAAAACUUUAUAUAUGUUUAAAUAUUGGCCUUGAUGAGUUUUACAAUUUAGCAUUAGAAUGUAAUGUAUUGAAGAAUUGUUGUUAAUUUAUUAUGCUCUUUUAAAACAUUAACAUCUCAUUAUGCCAAAAAAAUUUCAGUUAAUGCAUUGUAACUUCUGCAACAUAAAUAUGUUAGGUGCUAUAAUACUCUCAUUAACUGAUGCAAACUUUUCUUAUGAUAAUUUUUUGUUUUUAAUGUUUAGUAAUCUUGUCUUACAUCAACUUCUAACAUCCAAAAAUUUUUUUGUUUACUUUUGUGAUAUUAUGUAAUAUUAUGUGUAAAGUUUUUUCACUAUUGAUAUACAAUACUUUUCAUAAUGUAAAACUUUCAUUUAUUGAAUAUUUACUUCGAUUUAUUGUGAUGGUCUAUAAGAUAAAUAUCAUAGACUGUAGUACUAAUAUUAAUACAGAAAAUUGUAUUUUCAUGUAUUUUGGAUAUUGUAAGAAAACAUCAAAUCAUAGAUUAGGUGGCAGCAGUAUUUUGAUUAUUAUAAAAAAAUAUUGGGUAUAUUACACAUUUAUUAUUGAUUUGAAGAAUUAAUUAAGGUGAAGAUCAUACCUAUUUCUACUUGAGCUAAAGGUGAUAUAUAAUUUGGAGAGCUAUAUUUGAAUAUUUUAUGUUAAAUAAUAGUGUGAAAUAUUUCAAUAGUUUAUAUUGAUUUAUGUCAAUCUAGAAUAAGUGAAAAUGAUAUAACUUUGGGCCUCAAUUAAGUUUAAAUUGAUUUUUUUAUUGGGUCUGAUUGAAAAGGUAUAAUCGAUCAGCUAGUUGACCUAUCCAAUAAUGUAUCAGCUUAAUUUUAUAUUCAAUUGCAUCUCUCGAUGGAAAGUUACCAAUUGACAGUUGACGCUUCCAUAUUUAACGUUAUAUUCCAUUCUGGAUGAAAUAUCUUGUUUGAACAUUGUCAAGUAUGUAACAGUCAUUUCUUUGCGAUCGUCGAUGACUACCACUAGGAGUCAGUGUUGGGCGUACAUGGGCUUUAAUAGACUUGUGAAUGUAGAACUGUGCACUAGUAGUAACUGGUGGAUUGUUGAAUCUCCUUGAAACAUGAAUCCUAGUUAGGCAGGUUACAGGCUUGUGUCGUUCACCCUUGAGGGCUGUGAAUUUUGUGGGGAAAAACUGGAUGCCUGUCUCAACAGAUUUGCUGUCAAUCUAGUAGAUGUUGUUUUAAAGCAUGUCUACCUGCUGUCCAAAAGCCAUAACGAAGUUGAGGGGGGUUGACACUAUUUUGCUUAAUGCUUAUAAACUAACGCUAAAAUAGUGGAAUCUAGAGAUUAUCUAGCAGAGGACAACUGGGUUCACUUGAACUCAGUGCUCAUAAAAAUGGGACCUUCCCAAGAUGUUUCUGAUGGGCGAGGCUCAUUACUUCUGGGGGUUACCUUUUAUUUACGUUUUAGAAAGAUUCCAGAAAAAACGAUCACUCCAGAAACUGUGUCAACGGCCGAGCCUCUCGACAGACAAUGAUCUAUGGAACAGCCUUGAUUCGGAUAUAUGAUCAGAAAUGGGGCUGCCUGACCUAAGGCCCCGAAUAGACUUUCUUAAGCAGUGGACGUAGAUUGAUACAAAGGCAAAGAGGGAGAGGAAAAGACGGAUAGAUGCGCUCUCUCUCGCUCUCCCCUUUCAAAAGUUAACUUAUAGGUUAAUUUAGUUUUCAGUUUGAUAACAGGUGGGAUAAGUUGAGUUCUAGUUUCGGAUUUUUGAGUCGAAUAAGUUACCGCGACUUCAUCACAAUCCUAAAGAUCCGUUAUUUCGGUACGCUCGAUAACUCAGUCUAUUCUAGUCCAAACGGGCUACUGCUCAAAUAUUUUAGUUAUUUUAUUCCAUGAGUCAAAGUGAAGGUAGGGAUGAUGGAACUAGCCGCCUAAGAUGGGAAUCUCCCCUCGGCUUUUCAAGUUGAGGGGUUUGGUGGACGAAGAACACGUGUGAAUUUGCUGGCGGGCGGCCAUCCUUUGGGCGGAAGAGUACUGAUGCCCAAUUAACAAGGCUCAUUUUCUGAUCCAGGCGACUCAUGAGCUCUAUUGACUAAGAAUAACCUCAGUUUAUACGAACAACGUCGACUCUAGAAGAUCAAGCUCCGUUGAUUGGGCAUCUGCAACGCAACAGAGAGAGACUGGGAGACAGAGACAGAUGGGAAGAGAUGGAUACCGAGUCAGCAGAUGUUUGGUGGAGUAUUUUAUUUUGGUUUUGGACACACCGCCCGGAAAAGUCGACCAAAGGCCACGGUUGGUGGAGUCAAGACUGGGUACAAAGAGACUCAAUAAAAACCGAGGUGUCUAAGCAGCCUCCAGAUCACAUCAGAGGUUGCCCUCCCCCCGUCCUACUACGCCUCACAGCCUUCACAGGAGAUCGUAAUUCUUGCCCCGUAGCCAUGGGAUCUGUCCCGGACGAGGCGAGGAUGACUCUCCCGGAGGAGGAGCACGAGGCCUGCACCUACGCCAUGAACCUGGCCAGCGCUUCCGUUCUCCCGAUGACUCUCAAGGCGGCAAUCGAGCUGAACCUCCUCGAGAUCAUCAGUCGGGCGGGUUCCGCCUCCCAACUCUUCCCCGAAGAGAUUGUCGCCCAGCUUCCCACCGAGAACCCGGAGGCGGCCGUCAUGGUCGACCGUAUCCUCCGCCUCCUCGCCAGUUACUCGAUCCUCACCUGCUCC